Molecule: ribosomal RNA, 493 nt
Filed under: uncultured bacterium
Lineage: Bacteria
Description: bacterial SSU rRNA
Rfam family: Bacterial small subunit ribosomal RNA
Source: RNAcentral
CAGGACGAACGCUGGCGGCGUGCCUAAUACAUGCAAGUCGAACGAACUGUGGAAAGCUUGCUUUCAGAGUUAGUGGCGAACGGGUGAGUAACACGUAAGUAACCUAGCUAUUAGACGAGGAUAACUACUGGAAACGGUAGCUAAGACUGGAUAUGAUAGAAAUAUUUAAAGGAUGCUAAGGCAUCGCUAAUAGAGGGGCUUGCGGCGCAUUAGCUAGUUGGUAGGGUAAAAGCCAACCAAGGCGAUGAUGCGUAGCCGACCUGAGAGGGUGACCGGCCACACUGGGACUGAGACACGGCCCAGACUCCUACGGGAGGCAGCAGUAGGGAAUCUUCGGCAAUGGACGGAAGUCUGACCGAGCAACGCCGCGUGAGUGAAGAAAGUUUCGGAUUGUAAAGCUCUGUUAUUAGGGAAGAAAGGCUCUAGGAGGAAAUGCUUAGGGAUUGACGGUACCUAAUGAGGAAGCCACGGCUAACUACGUGCCAGCAGCGGC